This 253-nucleotide ribosomal RNA is filed under the name uncultured bacterium. Its description in RNAcentral is "partial 16S ribosomal RNA". It matches the Rfam family "Bacterial small subunit ribosomal RNA", at positions 524 to 776 of the family's 1533-position model. The record is from RNAcentral.
GACAGAGGGUGCAACCGUUGCUCGGAAUCACUGGGCGUAAAGCGCACGUAGGCGGCUUUCUAAGUCAGGGGUGAAAUCCUGGAGCUCAACUCCAGAACUGCCUUUGAUACUGGAGAGCUUGAGUCCGGAAGAGGUGAGUGGAACUCCGAGUGUAGAGGUGAAAUUCGUAGAUAUUCGGAAGAACACCAGUGGCGAAGGCGGCUCACUGGUCCGGUACUCACGCUGAGGUGCGAAAGCGUGGGGAGCAAACAGG